AACGAACGCUGGCGGCAUGCCUAACACAUGCAAGUCGAACGAGACCUUCGGGUCUAGUGGCGCACGGGUGCGUAACGCGUGGAAACCUGCCCUUAGGUUCGGAAUAACUCCCCGAAAGGGGUGCUAAUACCGGAUAAUGUCUUCGGACCAAAGAUUUAUCGCCUUUGGAUGGGCCCGCGUUGGAUUAGCUAGUUGGUAGGGUAAAAGCCUACCAAGGCGACGAUCCAUAGCUGGUCUGAGAGGAUGAUCAGCCACACUGGGACUGAGACACGGCCCAGACUCCUACGGGAGGCAGCAGUGGGGAAUAUUGGACAAUGGGCGAAAGCCUGAUCCAGCAAUGCCGCGUGAGUGAUGAAGGCCUUAGGGUUGUAAAGCUCUUUUACCCGGGAUGAUAAUGACAGUACCGGGAGAAUAAGCUCCGGCUAACUCCGU
Molecule: ribosomal RNA, 432 nt
Filed under: uncultured bacterium
Lineage: Bacteria
Description: partial 16S ribosomal RNA
Rfam family: Bacterial small subunit ribosomal RNA
Source: RNAcentral